CUAUUCAGGAUCAAUAGAACGAA
This 23-nucleotide transfer RNA is filed under the name Lathyrus oleraceus (garden pea). RNAcentral describes it as "Pisum sativum (pea) partial tRNA-Gly". The record is from RNAcentral. Lineage: Eukaryota; Viridiplantae; Streptophyta; Magnoliopsida; Fabales; Fabaceae. RNAcentral also lists the same sequence under 3 other names.